AAUUCUCAACCUUAUUGGCUUUUGCUGAUAAUGGCUUGGAUGUGGGGGUCCUUUUUUGCCGGCUUCUUCAGAGGUCAGCUCCCCUUAAAUGCAUUAGCUGGUGCCCCGCGUGGACUGUCUAUUUGGUGUGAUAAUUAUCUACGCCAUGGAUGUCUUGUGUGCAUCGCUUCUAACUGUCCGUUCAUCUGGACAACAUACAUGACA
RNAcentral lists this unclassified non-coding RNA (204 nucleotides) under Hymenogaster rehsteineri. Its description in RNAcentral is "partial internal transcribed spacer 2". Lineage: Eukaryota; Fungi; Basidiomycota; Agaricomycetes; Agaricales; Hymenogastraceae. The record is from RNAcentral.